ACUCACCAGAUAGAUCAACAUCGUUGUAUUUCGCGGCGACCGAAGAGGGUACGAGGACGAAAGGUAGAUGUCGCAAAGGAGAACGUCUUUCACCGACGAUCUUUCACUGUUGUGCCGGCUGGAUCGACACAUUCGGACUUUUAUACGAGCUGGAAGAGGGGAAAAGGAACAUCCUCGAUCCUCUUCCUUCGCUCAUUCGAUCAUCGAUCGGGCGAUCUUCGUUCAGGUGACUACGUAACCCUGAUCUUAUUACGGAUUAACGGCAUCCCUGGUUUUCGUCUUGGCCCGUCUAGAAUGGUUUACGGAGGCGAAAUUUACGCCGGGAAAUUUUUCGCCAUUCAAACCGGUGUGAUCGGAAGCGCGAACAAAGGAUCUUCUUUAAUUUACCGUGUAUUUUAUUUUAAUUAAUUUAAUAGAAACGCUUUCGCGUGAUCGUUAUCCAGCCGCGUCGAGGUUCUAGAGAAUCGAUCGACGAUACGUCCAUUAAUUUCAUUUUUCAACGGUAUUUUUCAGCCGCUCUGCUUCUUUGUUUAUCGAGUGUAAAUGUGAGAAUAAAAUUUUGCAGAUUUCUUUCACACGGGCCACGCAUGUUCGUAAGCCAAUUGUAGCGAAUAUAUUCGAUAAACCUUUCUUCUUGACAAGGUUUUUUAUAUAGCAACUUGAGCAAAAAUAUUCUCGCGCAUCCUUAUAACGGCAUUAAAAGAAACGAAAGCACAGAUCAUAUUAUUAUUACGUAGUUACGUCUGUUUCCUUUAGAUGGCAGGAUAAAAACAAGAGUCAACAUAAAUUAGGUUAUGGUAAAUUUGUAUUUCUACCAAACACAGUUCGGUUACCAAAACGAUAACAGCUCGAUGCUUGUCGUCGCAGUCAAUUUCGACACACGUGCCUAGUUCAUGAAUACUUGAGAUAAAAAGAUCUUAGUUUCCAUCAUGUAUGAACCUGUGAUUUUAAGAACGUUGAAUAUCGAACGAAAGAGGAAAGGGUUACGGCGUAAAAUGGUUGUGUAUAAUUUUGUGGAACGAAAGAGGAAAAAAGUGACGGUGCAAAAUGGUUGGGUACAAUUUUGGCAGCGAGCCUCAUCGUCACGCUGCACUGGAAGAAAGUCUGAAUGAAGGUGCAACAAGAGGGCGACAUAGCGCGGCGUUUGAACGCCUCGUGAAACGAUAUCGCAGGAAGGAGAUAUCGCAACGGAUCAUUCGAAGAUUACAAGAAAUCAAAGCCCGGUUACAUCAAAGCCCGUUAUUGAGUAAGCAUCGCUGCUGCAAGGAUGUGGUGGAUCAAAUUGCGCCGCUUUGUGUCGAUCACAGAAAGAUUUCGAGGACCCUGUGAGUCACGUGGGACGCACUGGUCGACUCUCGGAUCAUCGAAUUGACGAUUCGGAUCUGGCGAGGUUACGGGAGAACGUCCUUGAUAUCGGCCUAAAUUCCUGUGGACGCAUUCAGGCAUUUUCUCCGUAACGUAAUUCCAGAGGCAAGUAGAGGCAAGUAGAGGAGACGGGCAAAACUGAAGACGAGCGAAAGUGUGCUCGGUAUGGUGGCCCUCACGGUGAAAGUCAAACUAAUUACGAGACGAGCACGGGCACGUAAGCUGCCCGGAGAGUUAGCGUUGCAAAACAAUCCUCUUCGCUACGAAUAUUAACCCGGAACACCUGCCGCUUUCCACUGCCCGCACCAAAUUCCUCCUCAUUCUCAAGCCUGCUCUUCGUUCGUGAUACUCUUCACUGACUCAAUCUUUAUCUUCGCCCGGCUCGCCGCUCUCUUUCCCUCGUCUGUUAAAUUAUUCGGUUCUUUCGCCUUGACCAUACCCGGACCAAAUGGAACUUAUCGAAUUUGCAGGACCAUGCAUAAAAAGUUGGAGAAGAAGAAUUGCCUAUCUUAUUAAUUAUUAGGAAUAUAUGGGAAGUAAGAAAUAUAUCCCAUUUUGUACAAGAGAUUAUAAAAGUAAGAAAAUUAAUGCUAGUUAAAUCAUAAUAAAAAUCAAGUUACUAUAUUGCAGUGGUAUGUGCAUAUAUUGGGUAUAUAUGUGAAUAUGUAUUGAUGUAUGUGUGAUAUAUAAUAUAUGUAUUAUAUAUCAGCAACCUUCUUUGUAAUAGGCUGUGAAUCUGAAAUACAAGUAAAUAUACUUUAGUAUACUCUAAAAAGUA
Long non-coding RNA from Bombus terrestris (buff-tailed bumblebee), 2143 nucleotides. RefSeq lists it as uncharacterized. Lineage: Eukaryota; Metazoa; Arthropoda; Insecta; Hymenoptera; Apidae. The transcript has 2 exons. The record is from RefSeq and is a predicted model, not a curated record.